RNAcentral lists this ribosomal RNA (497 nucleotides) under uncultured bacterium. RNAcentral describes it as "partial 16S ribosomal RNA". It matches the Rfam family "Bacterial small subunit ribosomal RNA", at positions 28 to 507 of the family's 1533-position model. The record is from RNAcentral.
GAUGAACGCUGGCGGCGUGCCUAAUACAUGCAAGUCGAGCGAACAGACGAGGAGCUUGCUCCUCUGACGUUAGCGGCGGACGGGUGAGUAACACGUGGAUAACCUACCUAUAAGACUGGGAUAACUUCGGGAAACCGGAGCUAAUACCGGAUAAUAUAUUGAACCGCAUGGUUCAAUAGUGAAAGACGGUUUUGCUGUCACUUAUAGGUGGAACCGCGCCGCAUUAGCUAGUUGGUAAGGUAACGGCUUACCAAGGCAACGAUGCGUAGCCGACCUGAGAGGGUGAUCAGCCACACUGGAACUGAGACACGGUCCAGACUCCUACGGGAGGCAGCAGUAGGGAAUCUUCCGCAAUGGGCGAAAGCUUGACGGAGCCACGCCGCGUGAGUGAUGAAGGUCUUCGGAUCGUAAAACUCUGUUAUUAGGGAAGAACAAAUGUGUGAGUAACUAUGCACGUCUUGACGGUACCUAAUCAGAAAGCCACGGCUAACUACGUG